RNAcentral lists this ribosomal RNA (395 nucleotides) under uncultured Rhodoferax sp. RNAcentral's name for it is "bacterial SSU rRNA". It matches the Rfam family "Bacterial small subunit ribosomal RNA", at positions 983 to 1382 of the family's 1533-position model. Lineage: Bacteria; Pseudomonadati; Pseudomonadota; Betaproteobacteria; Burkholderiales; Comamonadaceae. The record is from RNAcentral.
GACAUGUACGGAACCUUUAGAGAUAGAGGGUGCUCGAAAGAGAGCCGUAACACAGGUGCUGCAUGGCUGUCGUCAGCUCGUGUCGUGAGAUGUUGGGUUAAGUCCCGCAACGAGCGCAACCCUUGUCAUUAGUUGCUACAUUCAGUUGGGCACUCUAAUGAGACUGCCGGUGACAAGCCGGAGGAAGUGGGGAUGACGUCAAGUCCUCAUGGCCCUUAUAGUGGGGCUACACACGUCAUACAAUGGCUGGUACAAAGGGUUGCCAACCCGCGAGGGGGAGCCAAUCCCAUAAAGCCAGUCGUAGUCCGGAUCGUAGUCUGCAACUCGACUACGUGAAGUCGGAAUCGCUAGUAAUCGUGGAUCAGAAUGUCACGGUGAAUACGUUCCCGGGUCUU